RNAcentral lists this long non-coding RNA (7747 nucleotides) under Astyanax mexicanus (Mexican tetra). RNAcentral describes it as "lncRNA (ENSAMXG00005006951.1)". The record is from RNAcentral. Lineage: Eukaryota; Metazoa; Chordata; Actinopteri; Characiformes; Acestrorhamphidae.
AAAAAAUUAUUUUAUCGGCACCUUUCACAUAAAUCACAAACACACAGUUUACCAAAAUACACCAACUUUGUAAUAGGGUACAAAGAAAAAACAAACCAGAUGUGCCUUCUCACUCUAUCUCACACUAUGCGAAAAAUCAAUUAUGAAUAAAUACAAAAUUAAUAAACCAAGACAACUACACACCUGCGCACGCAUUAAAAAGGACAAUAGCAAUAAAAUAAAUAAAUAAAAGUAAAUAAAUAAAUGAAAAUUAAUCAAUCAAUCAAUCUACCUGCAUUAAAACAAAUGAAUGGAAAAUAGAUAAUAAAAGUCCCCCGGUUGUGUCCUGUACACCCAGAGGCCGAGCCCUGAUGCUCAGGUGAGGCUGCUGGGAAACAUCCAGUUCUCAGGGUUAUUCCGUCUCCAUCAGAGGACCAGAACCCAAAGUCCCACAACACUGCCUCCAAACACCUCUUCACAGUCCGGUGUUUCAUUUAGAAUGCUGGUCUUCAGCAGUGUUUUCCAGCCCUAAUAGCAGUUUCAGGUCAGCUCAGGUGAUGCUACAGGAUGGAGUCUGAGCUGUUAACUGGCUGGCAGAAUGAGAGGGCGGAGCUGAGGGAGGAGUUAUCCAGACUGGAGGAGGAGCUUGCCGAGAGCCGGGCAGAAAGGGAUGAGCUCCAGUCUCGGACAGAGGCACUAACCUUGCGGCUCUCUCGAGUGGUAGACCCCCCUGUGGCAUUGGGGAUGGAUGGUGAUCAGAGGGAGUGGAGGAGGAGAGUGAGAGAGGGGCGAGAGAGGGAGGCUCGGCAAGCUCUGCUCAUCCACAAACUGCAUAAAUGGACACUCUCUUCUAAUGUGGUCAUUUUUAUAUGUGUGUGUGUGUGUGUGUGUGUGUGUGUGUGUGUGUGUGGGCUGCAGGUCCUGGUGGGGUGUGUAUCUGCAGAGCGGGCCAGGCUGAUGAUGCUGUGGGGUAAAGCUGUGUCUCUGAGGCGUCAGUGCCACACUGUGAAAACCGCCACAGACAAGGAUCUGUGGGAGUUGAGGGCGGAGUUUUCUCGUCUGUCAUCAACCUUGUUCUCAAUGGGUUUCCCUCCCGUGGUGCCCCGCCCCUCCGUCCUCUCCUCCUCCACCGGGCCAAUGACCCUUGAGGAACUGAACCAGGAAACGUCCACCACUAACCAUCUAGAUGAUCAGGAGAGCCUCACCCAGCAGCUCAGGUCUAGGAUUGAAGAGUUAACAGUGACUGUCCAAGCCCUGGAGAGUGAGAGACAGAGGCAGGAGGAGGAGAGAGAGAGGAGGCGAAGAGAGGAAGAGGAGGAGAUGGAGAAACACCAAGAGACUGAGAGAAACCUGGAGUCGGUCCAGCAGGCUGUCAAAAAGCUGUACAGGGUGCUCAGUUCUCAAAAGCUGGAGGGACAGUCCAGGAUGAGUGACCACUCUAAUAACGGUCUGCCUGCUCUACUGGCUAUUAUUGCUCAGGCUGAGAGCGCCCUCCUGUGGAAACACCAGGAGCUGCAGGAGGCUGAGGGGAGUUUGCAGAGAGUGAAGCUGGAAACACACUCUCAGGAUCAGCGAAUCACAGAGCUAGACAGAGAGAUGGCGGAGUUAGAGGAUCAGCUCAGCAACAAAGAGGCGGAGUUACAGCGUGCUAACACACAACUCAGCAGUGAGAGAGAGAUGGUGGCGUGUGUUCAGAAGCAGCUGGAGGAGAGCCAGUGGCGGGAGGAGGAGCUAAGGAGAGAGCAUGAGCGGCUGACUGAGCAAAGAGCAAGAGAGGAAGAGGAGAGACAGGAACAGCAAAGAGAGACCCAGAGACGUUUGGAGGCGGAGCUUCUGGAGAACGCACAGCUGUGCGAGAGGGAGAGCCGCAGCCGUGUGGAGCUGCACAGCCUGCAGGGGGCGCUGGAGAGAGAGCGGCUGGACAGAGCACGGGCCGAGAAGGAGGCGGAGGAGAAUAAGGAUGCUCUGCUGCAGGCUCGUCAGUCCCUGCUAUCUCUCUCGUCCGCUCACACUCUGCUGAAGAGAGAAGCAGCAGAUGUAAGAGAUGCUCUGGAGAAAAUGUCCGCCUUAAAUGAAGCCCUGGUCCAGGAUAAGAGAGAGCACAACAUCCGCACACUACAGGUUUUUAUAUAUCAAAAUAUUUGUGAGCACCCCUUGUACAAUACUUUUAGAUGGGAUGAGAUUCAGAGCCAUAAUUUCCUCUUGUCUGUAAUCGUGAUUUUCACCCCUGUUAUUAAUUUUAUUGAUGAUGUUUGUAGGGAUUUAAGUGCACGUCUGCAGCAGCAGCUGGGUGAUGUUCAGGACCAUGUCUCGUUUCUGGAGGUCCAGCGCUCACAGCUCGAGCUGCAGGUCCAAACCCUCCUGCAGGCUAAAGAUGCUCUACAAGGUGAAGUGGAGUGCGUGAGGACAGCCCUGGAAAGAGAGACGGCUCUGAGGGAGAAGGAGCGCAAUGGAGCGAAGGAGGAGAGGAGGAGGAGUGAAACAGAGAAGGAGGAGAGCGAAGCAGAGCUGAAAAAGCUGCUGAGAGAUUUAGAGCAGCACCGAACGAGAGAGGCGGAGCAGGAGAGGGAACGAGAGAGCUGGCAGAGAGAGAGGGAGGAGCUAAGUGCGGAGCUGGGGCAGAGAGAUGGAGAGAUGGAGGCGCUGAGGAGCAGGAUGGAGGCGCUUACCAAAGAAAACGAGGAGCAAUCUGAGCGGGCAAGUGAGAGAAUGAUGGAGGCGGAGCGACGGCUGCAGGAAACGAGGGAGGAGGUGGAGAGGUGGAGGCAGAGGGCGGAGGAAAGCCGGCGGGAGAGAGAGAAAGAGCGAGAGAUGCUGGAGAAGAAGGUGGAGGAGUUGAAGGAAAGAGCAGAGGAGGAGAAGAGACUGAGAGAAAGAGCGAGAGAGGAGCAGGAGAAGCAAUGGAUGAAAGAUCUGGAGAAAGCAGCCAAAGAAGCAAGGGAUGAGGCGGAGCGAUGGAGGAGGAGAGAGGAUGAAAUAAAGGAACUGAGGUCAAGCCUCCAUUCCUUAGAGGAAGAGAUGGAGGGAUUAGAGAAAGAGGUGAAGGAGAAGGAGGGAUUAGAGGAACGAGUGAUGAUUCUGGAGGAUGAAAAAACACAGCUGGAGGAAAGAGAGAGAGCUAGAGACAGAGAAUGGAGCAAGUUGGAAGAGGUGCAGAAGGAUGAAAAGAGCAAGAUGAAAAGGGAGUUAGACCAGAGAGAAGGAGAGAUAGAUGAGCUCCGAAGAAGGAUGGAGGGAAUAACGGAGGACAGAGACGAAACAGAGGAUAAACUGAGGGAGAAGAACGCAGAGUUAGAGGAACUGUGGGAAGAACGGACAGAAUUAGAGCUGAGGAUAAAGAAGGGAGAAGAAAGAGAGGAGGGAUGGAAGAAGCUGGUGGAGACAGAAAGGAUGAGAGCAGAGGAGAAGAGGACAGAAGUGGAGGAGAAGCUGGAAGGAGAGAUGGAGGAGCUCAGAAGAAGGAUGGAGGGAGCAAUGAAAGAGAAGAACACAGAAUUAGAGAAAGUGAGGGAAGAACGGAUGGAGCUAGAGUGGAGGAUUAAGGAGAGAGAAGAAAGAGAGGAGGAAAGAAAGAAGCAAGCAGAGGAGAAAAGGAUCAGAGCAGAGGAAAAGAUAAAAGGAGAAAUGGAGGCACUGAAAAGAGGAAUGGAGAGAAUAAUGGAGGAGAAAAAACUGGCUGAGGACAAAUUGAGGGUGAAAGCAGCUGAGUUGGAUGAACUGAAAGAAGAAAGGAUGGAGCUGGAGUCGAGGAUGAAGGAGAGAGAAGAAAGAGAGGAGGAAUGGAAGGAACUGGCAGAGAAGGAGAAAAUCCGUGUGGAGGAGAAGCUGAAAAAAGAGAUGGAGGAGCUCAGGAGAAGGAUGGAGAGAAAAGUAAAGGAGAAGAACUCAGAAUUAGAGAAAUCAAGGGAAGAACGGAUGGAGUUAGAGCUGAGGAUGAAGGAGAGAGAAGAGGGAGAGGAGGAAAGAAAGAAGCAGGUGGUGGAGAGGAGGAACAGAGCAGAGGAGAAGAUGAAAAGAGAAAUGGAGGCGCUGAAAAGAAGGAUGGAGAGAAUAGUAGAGGAGAGAAACAAGACCGAGGAUAAACUGAGAGAGAAGAAGGCAGAGUUGGAGGAACUGAAGGAAGAAAAGAUGGAGUUGGAGUUGAGGAUGAAUGAGAGAGAAGAAAGAGAGGAGGAACAGAGGAUGCUGGCUGAGGAAGAAAAAAUGAGAGAGGAGGAGAGGAGAAUACAAGCUGAGGAGGAGAUGAAAGAAGAGAUGGAGGAGCUCAGAAGAAGGAUGGAGGGAAUAACGGAGGAGAGAAACAGUGCGGAGGACAAACUCAGGGAAAAGGUAGCGGAGUUGGAGGAACUGAAAGAAGAACGGACAGAGUUUGAGUUGAGGAUGAAUGAAAGGGAAGAAGGAGAGAAAGAACAGAGGAAGCUGGAUGAGGAAGAAAGAUUGAGGGUGGAGGAGAAGCUGAAAGGAGAGAUGGAGGAGCUCAGAAGAAGGAUGGAGGGAAUAACAGAGGAGAGAAAUGAUGCGGAGGAAAACCUCAGACAGAAGAACGCAGAAUUAGAGGAACUGAAAGCGGAACGGACAGAGCUGGAGUUAAGGAUGAACGAGAGAGAAGAAAGAGAGGAGGAAUGGAAGGAGCUGGCCGAGAAGGAGAAAAUCCAUGUGGAGGAGAAGCUGAAAAAAGAGAUGGAGGAGCUCAGGAAAAGGAUGGAGAGAACACUAAAGGAGAAGAACUCAGAAUUAGAGAAAUUGAGAAAAGAACGGAUGGAGUUGGAGUUGAGGAUGAAGGAGAGAGAAGAAAGAGAGGAGGAAACAAAGAUGCUGGUGGAAGAGGAGAAGAUUAGGAUGGAGGAGAGGACAAACCAAGUGGAGGAAAAGUUGAAGAGAGAGAUGGCUGAACUUAGAAGAAGGAUGGAGGGAAUAACAAAUGAGAGAAACGCGGCAGAGGAUGAACUGAGGGAGAAAAACACUGAAUUGGAGAAACUGAGAGAAGAACAGAGGGAGAUGGAGUUGAGGAUGAAGGAGCGAGAAGAAAGAGAGGAGGAAAGGAGGAAGCUGGCAGAGAAGGAGAAGAUUAGGGUGGAGCAGAAGCUGAAAGGAGAGAUGGAGGAGCUCAGGAGAAGGAUGGAGAGAACACUAAAGGAGAAGAACUCUGAUUUAGAGAAAUUGAGGAAUGAUCGGAUGGACUUGGAGUUGAGGAUGAAGGAGAGAGAAGAAAGAGAGGAGGAAACAAAGAUGCUGGUAGAGGAAGAAAGGAUAAAAGUGGAAGAGAGUAGGAACAGAGCAGAGGAGAAGCUUAAAGGAGAGAUGGAGGUCCUCAGAAGAAGGAUGGAGGGAAUAACAGAGGAGAGAAAUGUGGCAGAGGAUGAACUGAGGGAGAAGAAUGCUGAUUUGGAGAAUUUGAGAGAAGAACGGAUGGAGUUGGAGUUGAGGAUGAAGGAAAGAGAAGAAAGAGAGGAGGAAUGGAAGAAGCUGGAGGAGGGGAGGAGAAACCGAGUAGAGGAGAAGCUGAAAGGAGAACUAGAGGUGCUUAAAAGAAGGAUGGAGAGAAUAACGGAGGAGAGAAACGAGGUGGAGGACAAACUGAGAGAGGAACGGACAGAGUUGGAGCUGAGGAUGAAGCAAAGAGAAGAAAGAGAGGAGGAAUGGAAGAAGCUGUCUGAGGAAGAAAAGAUGAGGUUUGAGGAGAAGCUGAAAGGAGAGGUGGAGAGGAAGGAUGGAGAGAUAGAAGUUCUGAAAAGAAGGUUGGAGGGAAUAAUUAAGGAGAAGAACAUUUCAGAGGAUGCAGUGAGGGAAGAACGGAUCAAGUCGGAACUGAGGAUGAAGGAGAUAGAACAGCUGAGAGAAAGACAGGUGGAGGAAGAGAUUGCGAAGAUCAAGGUGGAGGAGCUUCAGCGAGAACACCUCAGCCUGGAGGAGGAGGUGAAGAGGAGGGAGAGAGACCUCAGCGCUCUGAGGGAGGAGAGCCGGAGAGAGAGAGACAGGGUGGAGCAGAAGGAGGAGGAGCUGAAGGAGGCGAGGAAGCAGAUGGAGGAGAUGGUGCUGAGGGUGGAGGCUCUCAGGCGGGAGGUGGCGAGGCUCUCGGAGGAGCGGGAGGCGGAGAGAGUGAAGGUGAGGGAGCGAGAGGAGGAGAAGGAGAAGAUGAGGGAAGGACUGAGAGCCGGACUGCAGGAGAUGACCACGCUGAGGGAGCUCCUGCAGGAGAGCCACCGAGAGGGGGAGCAUCUGAGGAGCGUUUUAAAGGAGAAGAAAGAAGAACUGAUGAGAGGAAGAGAGGAGGACGUGAGGACGGCCAGAAAAGAAGCAGAAGAUCUACGGCUCAGAGUUCAGGUUCUGCAGAAGGAGAAGGAGGAGCUCCAGGAGAAGCAGCAGAGGUCAGAGUCUGAACUGAUGAUGGAGGAGGUGAAGGAGGAAGGAGAAGUGAGGAGGAUGGAGGAGCUGGAGGAACAGCUGCAUGGUUUACAGAUUAAAGCAGAGCAGAGAGAGAGAGACUUGGUCAGAGAACGAGGGAGAAUUAAAGAGCUGGAGGAACGGAGGAGGAGCCUGAGCAGAGAGGUGAAGCAGAAGAGCAGAGACGUGGAGGAACUGAGGAACCGAGCGGCGGAGAAAAAACAGCAGCUAGAGGAUCUUGAGCAGAGGAUGGAGUUGCUGAGGAAGGAGGAGAGGGAGCGACAGAGUGAGAUGGAAGAGAAAGAGAGAGGAAUUGAACGAAUGGAUGUGGAGGUGAGAGAGAAGGAAAGAGCACAGAGGACAAAUGAAGGAGUGAAUGAAGGUAAAGAAGAACCGAUCUCCCUGCAGGACAGAGAGAGAGAGGAGCUGAAGAAGCGUCUGAGAGACAGAGAGUCGGAGGUGUUUUCUCUGAAAGACAGAAUGGAGGAGCUGGGGAAAGACAGACAGCGGAUGAGAACCGCUCUGGAGAAGACUGAGGCGAAGUUGAUCGAGUAUAAAGAGAGAGUUCAGCAGCUGGAGAGAAGAACAGGAGAGAGUGGUGCAGUGAAGACAGAUGGAGGAGAAGGAGGAGGAGGAGGAGAGCGGGUCAGAACCAUGCAGAGAGCCGUAGCUCAGCUGGAGCUCCAGCAGAGGGCGCUGCAGCAGAGAAACAGCAGGCAGGAACAGCGGAUAGAGAAACUGAAGACUGAGAGACAGCAGCUCCGUCUUACCCUGCAGUCUGUAGUGUACUGUGAUGAUAGCGGCGCUCCGGCUGAUGCUGAUGAACUGAAGAGGCUGAGAGAACGUGUAGUAGAACUGACAGAACAGGUUGAGUAUCUGCGGCGGAUGCUGGCUCAGGAUCAUCAGGAGCGCUCUGAGUUUAUCGACCGCUCUCUGAAGAACAGUGACCGGCUGCAGUCUCUGAGAGAAGACCUGAGCCAGUCUCUGGCCGUCGUGUCCCAGCAGCUCGAUCCUCCGGUUCUGGAGUCUGAAACCCAGAGACUGGACCUCAGCAUCCGAGAGGAGGAACACAGACUUUCCCUGAGCCAGAACUGACGGGACCUCCAGCUCACUGCAGAUCAGCUGGAGAGAGCAGUUCUGAUGUUCUGCACUGACAGUAGAGGAGGACAGUGCUGACAGUGUGAUUGUAGCAGUUGUUGUAAUUGUUCAGGGUUCAUUAUUCCAGAUGUUCGUUACUACAUUAAAUGACUGAUCUUUGUAUUUAAGUAUUAUAUUUUUUACACUAUAUUUAUUUUUUUAUACGGAUAUAUAUUGAUGAAGUCCCAUUUUGGUUUAUUUUACUUUGGUUAAUAAAGUAAUUAAUUUAAUAAACUACUAAAUAAAA